CCGCCGGCGACCGGCGCACGGGUGAGUAACACGUAUGCAACCUGGCCGUGACAGAUGGAUAACCGGGAGAAAUCCCGCCUAGUACAACAUAAUGCCGGGAGGGGACAUCCCUGCCGGCCAAAGGGGCGACCCCGGUCACGGAUGGGCAUGCGGCGCAUUAGGUAGUUGGUGGGGCAACGGCCCACCAAGCCGACGAUGCGUAGGGGUUCUGAGAGGAAGGUCCCCCACAUUGGAACUGAGACACGGUCCAAACUCCUACGGGAGGCAGCAG
This 271-nucleotide ribosomal RNA is filed under the name uncultured bacterium. Its description in RNAcentral is "partial 16S ribosomal RNA". It matches the Rfam family "Bacterial small subunit ribosomal RNA", at positions 85 to 354 of the family's 1533-position model. The record is from RNAcentral.